RNAcentral lists this ribosomal RNA (468 nucleotides) under uncultured bacterium. Its description in RNAcentral is "partial 16S ribosomal RNA". It matches the Rfam family "Bacterial small subunit ribosomal RNA", at positions 28 to 507 of the family's 1533-position model. The record is from RNAcentral.
GACGAACGCUGGCGGCGUGCUUAACACAUGCAAGUCGAACGGAAAGGCCCUGCUUUUGUGGUGUGCUCGAGUGGCGAACGUGUGAGUAACACGUGAGUAACCUGCCCUUGACUCUGGGAUAACUUCAGGAAACUGGGGCUAAUACCGGAUAGGAGCUCCUGCUGCAUGGUGGGGGUUGGAUUUUUUCGGCGGUUGGGGAUGGACUCGCGGCUUAUCAGCUUGUUGGUGGGGUAGUGGCUUACCAAGGCUUUGACGGGUAGCCGGCCUGAGAGGGUGACCGGCAACAUUGGGACUGAGAUACGGCCCAGACUCCUACGGGAGGCAGCAGUGGGGAAUAUUGCACAAUGGGCGGAAGCCUGAUGCAGCAACGCCGCGUGCGGGAUGACGGCCUUCGGGUUGUAAACCGCUUUCGCCUGUGACGAAGCGUGAGUGACGGUAAUGGGAGAAGAAGCACCGGCUAACUACGUG